CAGGGAGACAACAAAAUGUUUAAUAUUAUUAUUUUGUCACCUUAGGUCGAUCGGUAUCUCACGUUCUUAAUUCGUUAAGAAUUUCAUUUCCUAAGUUUUUCUAGGUCACACCCAUUAUUUUUCCUGGGCCAUUAGCUCAGGUGGUUAGAGCGCACCCCUGAUAAGGGUGAGGUCCCUGGUUCAAGUCUAGGAUGGCCCAUAUCUCUAUGUUGGGGGUAUAGCUCAGUUGGUAGAGCGCCUGCUUUGCAAGCAGGAUGUCAGCGGUUCGAGUCCGCUUACCUCCACUGAUUACCACCUCUUCCAUAACCGAUAGAAAGGAAAUGUUUUGAGUUGUGAUCAUUAUUCUGAACGAAUCUAGCUUCCUAAUGAAAUCAUUAAGAUGCUGGACUCAUUGAAUUAAUUUCAUUGUUUUCAGAGAACCUUGACAACUGCAUAGAUUAUUUUUAAAGACAAUAAGCAUCUUUAAUGAUGCAGAUUUAUUAUUUGUGCGAAUGCAUUAAUAACAAUUCUAUUAAGCUGAUGCUUCAAUUUUUGAAGUUAUU
Molecule: transfer RNA, 542 nt
Filed under: uncultured cyanobacterium
Lineage: Bacteria; Bacillati; Cyanobacteriota
Description: partial contains 16S ribosomal RNA, 16S-23S ribosomal RNA intergenic spacer, and 23S ribosomal RNA
Rfam family: tRNA (bases 212-284)
Source: RNAcentral